AAAAAUUUUGGACCCUUGUUGCUGGUUUGCCAAAAUCUCGUGUACUAAGUGGUCCUUUCUAAACUAUACACGCGGACUUUAACCUGUUCAGUUUUUCUCUGCUUGGUCGAAAGAGGUCAGAGGAGGUUGGAGGGGCGGCGGCGCCGGGCACCACCGAUAUGUAUACAAUCCCAUUUCAUGGGCUUCUUUCCGUUUUCACGAUACAGAAGUUACAGUACGAUCAAAACCCCUCUCUCCAAAUUCACACAAACGGUCUCGACCUCACUCUUCCCUUCAAAUCUCACAAGCUUAUUCCCCGAACAAUCCACCACCACCACUUCCGCUGCCGCUGAACCCAACAAAAAUGAAGAUGAUAUUCAUCAUCAAAGGGUCAAACCCACCAAAAGCAAGAAAGCCCGAAAAAUGGCCCUGCUUAUCAAUGCAAAGCCCUGGUCAGCCCAGCUUGAAUCCUCCCUUUCCACCCACACUCCCCUCUCCGAGACCAGCUUCCUUCAAACCCUCCGCCUCAUCAAGUCCCCUGCCAACGCCCUCCAAUUCUUCAACUGGUCUCGUAACACGGGUUUCACUCACAGCGAGCACUCCUACUUCUUCAUGCUCGAAAUUCUUGGUCGGGCCCGGAACCUCAAUUCCGCUCGAAACUUCCUCCUGUCUAUUCCAACAAAAUCCAACAAUGCUAUACCACUCACUGACAAGUUUUUCAACAGCUUGAUUCGGAGCUAUGGUAAUGCCGGGCUUUUCAAGGAAUCAAUUAAGUUGUUCGAAACCAUGAAAUCAAUGGGUAUUUCGCCUUCUACAUUUACAUUUAAUAAUUUGUUUUUUAUUUUGCUCAAAAGAGGUCGGACUGGAAUGGUUUUUGAGUUCUAUGAUGAAAUGCUUAGGACUUACGGUGCGAAGCCCGAUUUAUACACGUUUAAUAUAUUGAUAAGAGGGUUUUGUAUGAACUCGAGGAUGGAUGAUGCAUUUAGGUUCUUUAAAGAAAUGGAGUUGUUUAAUUGCAAACCGGAUUUGAUAACCUAUAACACGAUUGUUGAAGGGUUGUGUAGAGCAGGGAAAGUGACAAUUGCGCACAAUGUGGUAAAGGGUAUGUGUCUAAAGGGAGAAAAUUUGAUGCCGAAUGUUGUUACUUACACCACUUUGGUUAGAGGGUAUUGUAAGAAGCAAGAGAUUGACAUAAUGUUAGAUGUAUUGAGGGAAAUGGUUGAUAGUGGGAUUAAGCCAAACGAGAUCACUUAUAAUACAAUUAUAAAUGGGCUUUGCGAAGCCCAAAUGUUUGAUAAGAUAAAAGAUCUGUUAGAAGGGUGGCGUGGAGAGCCUGGAGGAUUUGCGCCUGAUACAUGCACUUUUAACAUGUUGAUGAAUGCUCAUUGCAAAAUGGAUGAUUUGAGUGAAGCAUUUAAAGUUUUUGAGAAAAUGAAGGAGCUAAAGGUCCAACAAGAUUCAGCCUCGUACAGUGUGCUAAUCCGGGGUUUGUGCCAGAAGUUGGAUUUUGGGAGGGCAGAAGAGUUGCUUGACGAGUUAUUGGCAAAGGAGAUUCUAUUAUGUGAUGAUGGGUGCACUCCCCUUGCUGCUGCAUACAAUCCCAUUUUUGAAUAUCUUUGUCGAAACGGGAAAACGAAGAAAGCUGAGCAAGUUCUCAGGCAGCUAAUGAGUAGAGGAAUUCAGGACCCUCCGUCAUAUAGAACUUUGAUCUUGGGGCAUUGCAAGGAAGGAACCUGCAUAGCUGGGCACAAGCUCUUGGUCUUGAUGUUGAGAAGACAUUUUGUGCCUGAUCGUGAGACUUAUGACUCCCUGAUUGAAGCUUUGUUGCAAAAUGGUGAACCAACCCUUGCCCAUGAUACUUUAAAAAGGAUGUUGAUAAGCUCAUAUCUUCCAAGAUCAUCUACUUUCCAUCGUAUUCUCACGGAACUUGUCAAGCUGGGUUCUGCUCUUGAAUCUGCUAGCUUAGUGAUAUUAAUGUUAGAGAAAGAGAUCAGACAAAACAUCAAUCUGUCAACAGACACUGUUAAGCUUCUCUUCAUGCGUGGCUUACGGGAUAAGGCAUUUGAGGUGACUAGAAGUCUUUAUGAGAGUGGUUAUGUUUUGAGUAUGGAAGAAUUAAUUUCAUUCCUUUGUGAUGGCAGAAAGUUGAUGGAGGCAUAUGAAUUGGUUAGUUUUAGUCUGAAAAACGAUCAUAAUAUUGACGUGGCUAUAUGCAGUACUGUUUUGACAAGUCUUUGUAAAGCCCAUAAAGCAUCUGAAGCAUUUGACCUUUACUAUAAGAUGAUAGAGAAGGGAAUUCAACAACCUUUGGGCUGCGUAGAAGACUUGAGAAGUAUUCUUGAAGCUGAAGGGAAAUUGAAGGAAGCUGAAUUUGUUACUAAGAGGAUGCCAAGUCCAUCGCAGUUGGAUGGAUCUGGUUAAGACUUGAGGUUAAAGCUGAGAUUUUGAUACUUGUAGUACUUUCGUUUCAAUGACUUUUCUUUAUAAGGAGUUGCACAGCCCUUUGUAAUUCUUUCUGCGUUCUCUUGCUGGCCAUUGAUCAAGAAUCUUUUAGAUGUACUAAUCAUCCGAAAACCACACAUGUAUGUUUUUCAAGCAGGAUUAUAUGUUAAAGACUAUUUACAUAACGUGAAAUUAUGUGGGUCGGGGGUAGGUUUAUGGGUCAAACCCUCCCAAACCGACCCAGUCCGAAAUAAAAAAUGUGAAACUUUUCUGCAAUCAAGCGUGAAGAUCCUUCUUUCACUCACAAUGUUGAAACCUAGCCUGCCUUGUGGCGAAAUUGGCGGCCACUGAUCUGAAAGUCACCCCUAUUUUUAUUUCUUUCAAGGUAAUUUCUCAACUUUCUCAUAUUUUCAAGAUAAUUUACUGGAUUUUUACUACAUUUUCCGUCUAAUUCUGAUUGAAUUUAGAGCCAUAAAUAAUUAAAGAGCCAUAGAAUUCUAUCUAUUGGGUUUAUUACAUCCCAGUUGAGUGGCUUCAAGAUUUCAACAACCCAGUUUCAGAAACUUGCUCCAAGCCCAAUGUCCAUUCUUUUCAAGUCUUCCCUCCGACCUAUUACUUGUAAUCUGUGUGUAUUUUUUGACGUUAAAGAUUUUAUAAUUCUGUUCUCUUUCAUUCUAUUUUGGGCCUUUUUGGUUUGUGUUGAUACGGGUAAAGCUAAUACUAAUUAAACUUGAGUGAAUGAUAUCCGUAACAUAGAAGAUGAUUGUACUGAAAUCUAUGUUCUAAAUGUGCUGUAACUUGUUUGGGUAGAAAGUUUGCACGGGAGUUUGGGGUUGAGUUAAUUUGGUAACCGAAGAUAUGUAGCAAUGAACUAGUGUUAAUGUGUAUCAAGUUGGUUUCAAAAUUAUAUAUCUUGCACAAUUCAGAAUUGUAUGGUGCAGUCUGAACUCUGUAUGACUCGCAGCCGCCUACCAAUUCCUUAAUACCUUUUAUAGGAACACCAAGAUGCAACAAAUUGUGUCCAGAAAACCAUCCGUACUUUGUAUGAUCCUUAGCUGCUUUUUGUGGUUGGACUCAAUAUUCGAGUAUAAGCAUGCUGCAAAUAGUGACCCAAUGAUUACGAUUGAUCUCCGUGAGAUAACAUGUUUCCACCUAUUUUUGCAGUUACACUCUUAAGAAUAAAACAUGGUUGGACUUUUCUUAGCAUUCAAUGCUUCUGCUUUGUGUAACAAUCUGGGCCUGGCAAUGUACUUCUACGGGUAGCAAUGUUAAUCCCCCCCCCCCCCCAACCCGCCCAUCUGUGAAUUUAUGAGAAUUCAAUUGUGUUUCUCUGAACAGUUGUGAAUUUAGCAAGACGAGGCUGGGUAUUUAAGUCAAAACUCAUAGAUGUAGGUGGAAGACCAUGUUAAGGAUUUAUAAUUUUUUCUUUGCUCUUUAAAUUGUCACUGUUUUUUUACAGUUGAUUUUCUGAAAAUGUGAUUAGUUUAUAGUUAUUGUCUCAAUGAUAAAUCUUUUGCAUUGAUUUUAACCUAGGACACUUCAAGAUACGGAGGAGAGUGAUAAAUUCUGAUUGAAAAUCAAUCUCUAAUUGCAUCAAGUGGUUACCUUCCAUAUUAAGCACACGGAUAUGCUAUAAAACUAAACCAUUAUAUUAAAUUAUUUAUUUUAUGGGAUUACAAAACCGAAAAGAUAAUGAAUUUAUUUAUUUAUUUAUUUUUAUGUAGAAUUAUACAUAUCCAUGUGUUACAAGAUUGAAUAUCGAUCUUUUACACUGGUUCUUGCUUGUUAAUUUGGCAGUUUCAUUAUUCGCCCUUGUCCCCAUUGAGAGCAGUAGCCAGAGUCCCUGCAGGACAUAUGCAGUUCUUUGCUUGUGCUCCAUUUUGCUCGAUGUUGCUUGGUUCAUUCUCUUCUCUCAUGAAAUCUGAUGCGACCUUUUCUUAUUCAUCAUACUUAUAGAUUUCUAGUUUAAUUUCUUGUUCUUCAUUUCCAUAUCAUGUAUACAAUCUUGGCAUGUUGUAAUUCAAGAAAACAGUAAGAAACCUCUUUAAUUCCCAAAUUUAUAUGUACAUCUUCAAUUUCAAUUCACAAGUUGAACAAUUUCAUUAGUAAAUACUUAAAUCUUUCUAAAAAUUCUCAAGACACUAAACACCUGAGUAACUAGAUAAGUGGAUGGCAUUGGUAAUCACCUCUAACAACUGGAAAACACUCAUUUCAAUUUCUUGUCUUUCCAUUACUUAACUAUUAUGUUUCUA
This 4673-nucleotide long non-coding RNA is filed under the name Olea europaea subsp. europaea. Lineage: Eukaryota; Viridiplantae; Streptophyta; Magnoliopsida; Lamiales; Oleaceae. The record is from RNAcentral.